Molecule: ribosomal RNA, 469 nt
Filed under: uncultured microorganism
Description: bacterial SSU rRNA
Rfam family: Bacterial small subunit ribosomal RNA
Source: RNAcentral
GAGUUUGAUCAUGGCUCAGAAUGAACGCUGGCGGCAUGCCUAACACAUGCAAGUCGAACGAAGGCUUCGGCCUUAGUGGCGCACGGGUGCGUAACGCGUGGGAAUCUGCCCUUGGGUUCGGAAUAACAGUUAGAAAUGACUGCUAAUACCGGAUGAUGUCGUAAGACCAAAGAUUUAUCGCCCAAGGAUGAGCCCGCGUAGGAUUAGCUAGUUGGUGGGGUAAAGGCCCACCAAGGCGACGAUCCCUUAGCUGGUCUGAGAGGAUGAUCAGCCACACUGGGACUGAGACACGGCCCAGACUCCUACGGGAGGCAGCAGUGGGGAAUAUUGGACAAUGGGCGAAAGCCUGAUCCAGCAAUGCCGCGUGAGUGAUGAAGGCCUUAGGGUGUAAAGCUCUUUUACCCGGGAUGAUAAUGACAGUACCGGGAGAAUAAGCUCCGGCUAACUUCGUGCCAGCAGCCGCAGUAAC